This 694-nucleotide ribosomal RNA is filed under the name uncultured bacterium. Its description in RNAcentral is "bacterial SSU rRNA". It matches the Rfam family "Bacterial small subunit ribosomal RNA", at positions 32 to 715 of the family's 1533-position model. The record is from RNAcentral.
AACGCUAGCUACAGGCUUAACACAUGCAAGUCGAGGGGCAGCAUGGUCUUAGCUUGCUAAGGCCGAUGGCGACCGGCGCACGGGUGAGUAACACGUAUCCAACCUGCCGUCUACUCUUGGACAGCCUUCUGAAAGGAAGAUUAAUACAAGAUGGCAUCAUGAGUCCGCAUGUUCACAUGAUUAAAGGUAUUCCGGUAGACGAUGGGGAUGCGUUCCAUUAGAUAGUAGGCGGGGUAACGGCCCACCUAGUCUUCGAUGGAUAGGGGUUCUGAGAGGAAGGUCCCCCACAUUGGAACUGAGACACGGUCCAAACUCCUACGGGAGGCAGCAGUGAGGAAUAUUGGUCAAUGGGCGAGAGCCUGAACCAGCCAAGUAGCGUGAAGGAUGACUGCCCUAUGGGUUGUAAACUUCUUUUAUAAAGGAAUAAAGUCGGGUAUGCAUACCCGUUUGCAUGUACUUUAUGAAUAAGGAUCGGCUAACUCCGUGCCAGCAGCCGCGGUAAUACGGAGGAUCCGAGCGUUAUCCGGAUUUAUUGGGUUUAAAGGGAGCGUAGAUGGAUGUUUAAGUCAGUUGUGAAAGUUUGCGGCUCAACCGUAAAAUUGCAGUUGAUACUGGAUAUCUUGAGUGCAGUUGAGGCAGGCGGAAUUCGUGGUGUAGCGGUGAAAUGCUUAGAUACCACGAAGAACUCCGAUUG